UGGUCUUGCACUAGGCACACCACUGUUGCUGCUGCUGCUGUUACUGGUCCUGAUGCUGUUUUUAAUUAUUAUGUCUAAGAAGUCUCCAAAUGGAGAAUUAGAGGACGCAAUGGACGCAGCUGCCUCAAGCUCCCACCACCCUGCUCUCCCCGCUGUCAUGGACUCUUUGCCUCA
This is a long non-coding RNA of Nannospalax galili (Upper Galilee mountains blind mole rat), 174 nucleotides long. RefSeq lists it as uncharacterized. The record is from RefSeq and is a predicted model, not a curated record. The transcript is spliced from 2 exons. Lineage: Eukaryota; Metazoa; Chordata; Mammalia; Rodentia; Spalacidae.